RNAcentral lists this ribosomal RNA (398 nucleotides) under uncultured bacterium. RNAcentral's name for it is "partial 16S ribosomal RNA". It matches the Rfam family "Bacterial small subunit ribosomal RNA", at positions 523 to 918 of the family's 1533-position model. The record is from RNAcentral.
AUACGUAGGGUGUGAGCGUUGUCCGGAAUUACUGGGCGUAAAGAGCUCGUAGGUGGUUUGUCGCGUCGUCUGUGAAAUUCCGGGGCUUAACUCCGGGCGUGCAGGCGAUACGGGCAUAACUUGAGUACUGUAGGGGAGACUGGAAUUCCUGGUGUAGCGGUGAAAUGCGCAGAUAUCAGGAGGAACACCGGUGGCGAAGGCGGGUCUCUGGGCAGUAACUGACGCUGAGGAGCGAAAGCAUGGGCAGCGAACAGGAUUAGAUACCCUGGUAGUCCAUGCCGUAAACGGUGGGCGCUAGGUGUAGGGGUCUUCCACGACUUCUGUGCCGUAGCUAACGCAUUAAGCGCCCCGCCUGGGGAGUACGGCCGCAAGGCUAAAACUCAAAGGAAUUGACGGGG